Molecule: ribosomal RNA, 899 nt
Filed under: feces metagenome
Description: bacterial SSU rRNA
Rfam family: Bacterial small subunit ribosomal RNA
Source: RNAcentral
AGAGUUUGAUCCUGGCUCAGGAUGAACGCUGGCGGCGUGCUUAACACAUGCAAGUCGAACGAUUAAACCGCCUUCGGGCGGAUAUAGAGUGGCGAACGGGUGAGUAACACGUGACCAACCUACCUCUUGCUUCGGGAUAACUGUGGGAAACUACAGCUAAUACCGGAUACUCUAGCUAAAUCACAUGAUUUGGUUAGGAAAGCGUAUACGGCAAGAGAUGGGGUCGCGUCCCAUUAGGUAGAUGGCGGGGUAACGGCCCACCAUGCCAACGAUGGGUAGCCGGGUUGAGAGACCGAUCGGCCACAUUGGGACUGAGAUACGGCCCAGACUCCUACGGGAGGCAGCAGUGGGGAAUUUUGGGCAAUGGGGGAAACCCUGACGCAGCAACGCCGCGUGCGGGAUGACGGCCUUCGGGUUGUAAACCGCUUUCAGUGGGAAAGAUUAUGACGGUACCCACAGAAGAAGCCCCGGCUAAAUACGUGCCAGCAGCCGCGGUAAUACGUAUGGGGCAAGCGUUAUCCGGAUUUAUUGGGCGUAAAGCGCGCGUAGGCGGCUUGUUAAGCAGAAUCUCUAAUCUUGGGGCUCAACCCCAAUCCGGAUUCUGAACUGGCAGGCUCGAGUUCGGUAGAGGAAGACGGAAUUCCCAGUGUAGCGGUGAAAUGCGCAGAUAUUGGGAAGAACACCGAUGGCGAAGGCAGUCUUCUGGGCCGUAACUGACGCUGAGGUGCGAAAGCUAGGGGAGCGAACAGGAUUAGAUACCCUGGUAGUCCUAGCCGUAAACGAUGGGCACUAGGUGUGGGGAGUUCAUACUUUCCGUGCCGCAGCUAACGCAUUAAGUGCCCCGCCUGGGGAGUACGGCCGCAAGGCUAAAACUCAAAGGAAUUGACGGGGGCCCGCAC